AGGCUGCGAGAAUACCUACGGUUUAGGGGAAGAGCAAUUUAUGUUUAUUCAGGCCUCUCAGAAAACAAAAACUUCAAGGCAACCUUGUCUUAUUUCAGACAGAAACAACAAAGAAACAGAUAUAAUUCCUAACCAUUUUACAUUUCUGGUCCAGUGGGAUUUUUCAGAACUUUCUAAAGGACAGGAACCAGGCUGACAGAUAAUGAUUUGACACCUCUGUUAAUGAUUUUUAAAACAUUAUGCAAAUAUGAAGCUUCUUCUUCCUUAAGGCCAUACCUCCUCUUUGCCAACCUGUCCCACUGUGGUAGUCAGUUGCCCAUGUUUUUGGGAUAGCUCCUUAUGCGCUAAGAGAGAUGGAUGGAGAUGCAAGGACAAAAGUAUAGAUUUAGCAGGGCCUCAGUUAUGUUUUGGCAUCUACCCACUCUUUCUCUAACCACAUAUUUUUCACACACCCAGCCCCACUCACAGCUGCUUGCCUAUAGGGCCAAAAAUCUUUAGUUAGUGAUCUGCCAGAAUUCCCCUUUCUGUGUAGGAGAUUGGAGUGAUUUCAAAUAACCCAUCUGGUGGGAUGAAGAGAAGUAAAGAAACUGAGGUAAAUAAAAUACAUAUUGUUAAAUACUUGGUUGCAUGCAUUGUGUCUUUGCUAAAAUUUGUUUGUGGACUAUAUUUGUUGAGCUGGUAUGUAUUCAUUUCUGUUUGUUUGCCUUAUAACCUUUACUUUUGCUGGGAGGGUGAUAUGGGUGUGGUGGUGUUGAUAGGUAUUGCUAUCUCCUAGGCCAGAGGAAACAUUUCAAAAUUGCUUUUUAUUUUCUCAACCAGAAUUCUGAAGACCUGGAUCCUUGGCAUAAAAAUAUAAGCUAGAAAGAUAAGUUGCCAAGUAUAUAUUACAUACCUCCUGGCCAUGGAAUUUGGUAGGCUUACUUAGAGAAAUAGGAAAGUCGUUUCCAAAAGACUUAUUCUGUAUCUCCUUAACUGACUUUCAUAUUUGUACAUUUUCUAUUUAUAAAUGGUGUUACUUUUUUCCACUUAGGGUAGUUUAAUCUGUAAAUAUGAAAAAUUAAUAAAGGACAAAUCCUCAUUUUGUUGAGUUCUGAUACUCCAAGCAAAUUCUUUGCCUAGACUUUUUCUUUAUUGCUGAAAUGAGCUGGAGAAAUUCAUUUUCUUCUGAAUUGUUAUCUCAAUUAAAGAGCUUAUUUUGAAUGGUCUAGAGAAGUUCUGUCCAGUAGAUUUUUCUGUAGUGAUGGUAUUUAAUACCUUGAAUAUGGUAGGUCACUUACCAUAGUAACCAACAGCUGAAGGACACUGAAAAUAUGGCUAGUGCAAUUAAAGAAUUAAUUAAGUAAUCUAAUUUAGUAGAUACUGUAUUGGACAGUACAGUUUUGGAAUACUUUAGUCAUUCAGACAAUUUCUUCUAGGUUAAAAAUUCACCAAAUGCAUCAUUGUUUGGUUCUCUUAUGAAUUUGACAGGUUUUGAUUAGUAACUUAAGCUUAUGUAUUUUAGAACAGUUUUAAUUCAUUACCAUGUCUUUAUACAAUAAACUGUUCACAAAAUAGUGAGCUGUAACAGUUUUCCAAGUUUUAAAUUUUUCUAUGGAUGCCACUGUAUUUUUAAUAAAAGCACUCAUUAGAUUUCUGCUGAAAGCUAAAAGCUGGCCAAUUACCAAGCAAUGACCACACAGUAAUUGAGUGUUAGUCUUUGGCCAAUAUUGCAUAAAAUACUCCACAAGUUACAAAAAAGGAUUUUAUGUGAUUCCUCUCAUCAACAAUCUUACAGUCUUGCCAGAAAGACAAAACUAGCAGGCAUGAAAUAAUUAAAAAUCAAUCAGUGCUAAACCUUAUUAUGCAAAACAGGAGUGAAGAAGCGGGUGAGAUCAGUGUAACCAUAGCAGCCAAUCUCUGUACUUUGUCUAAAGGAUCCUUAGAAAUCACUUAUUCUGAAUGUCAGACAUGAUGAAAUUGUAUUUCAGUGGCCUUACCUGUUCAAGAUUUCACAACUGUCUGAAGACAUGCCCAGAACGUGAAUGAAGGUUUUUCCACAUUGCCUUUAAGACUGCCUCCUAGAGGAAAUUGUUGUUAACAAUUCAUUAUAAGGAAACUUGAGGUCAAGCAAUUAUAGAGCAAAUUUCAUUUCAAAUAUCAGUUUCUUCCAGCAGAGUGUCCUCCAACUUAAUUGUUAUUUAACACGUUCAUAAGUUUUACCAUAUCCCCUUCUACCACCCGUACUUCUUUUAUUUUUAAUUUAAAGUUUAUUACAAGGAAACUGGAAAGCCAACAUAAUUUAUCAUGAACAAAUGGUGACUGGGAAAUAAAUACCUGAAAAAUAAAUACUAAACUAUGCUAUAAAUUCCUAGUCAGACACUUCACCUGAGCCAGAGGAUUGUUCUCUAUAUAAAGGGUAUUAGUAAAGGCUGAAAACCUUAGAUGCAUUCGUCCCACAUUAUUGUAAAGAGCAAUCCUUUUCUUCAAUUUGCAAGGUCACAUUACUAAAUCUAAUACCUUUCAUUGGCCCUCUACAGGCUGUUUAUAAUUUCAUUAGGAAGAAAUUAGCUAAGAACCCUUAGUUCUUUACUGCACACAUACAUGUCUGCAUGAAUUUAUGUGUCUGUGUUGGUUGGUGGUAUGGAGUUAAUGGUGGUUACACUUUCAAAUUAUAUAAAUGUAUAAGUUUCCUGAUUAUUUUCCUAAUUGAAACAAAGCUUAUUUGAUCUACUGGAUGGUGUUUUGGUGGUUGUUUUUUUACAGGGAAAGUAAUUGUGUAAUUAAUCUUUGAAAAAUGUUAAUUAAAUGGAUUAGAUAGAUUAUCUUUCCAUCUACAGACAUACAAGUCUAUCAUCCAUUAAAUGAAAAAAAAAAAAAAAACUUACAUGGCUCUUGGUGGAACAGUCUGGAGUCCACAGCUGCUUGUGGCUUAUGGAAAUGGUUUAUUAGGGGAAAAGAUGACAUACAUAUUUCUUUAAAAAGUGGAAAGCGCUAUGAAAGUAUAAUUCUUAAAAUCUUAGAAAAACAUGACUCUUGAGAGUUCCCGUUAUGGCCCAGCAGUUAACGAACCUGACUAGGAUCCAUGAGGAUGCAGGUUCAAUCCCUGGUCUUGCUCAGUAUGUUAAGGAUCUGGCAGGUGUUGCUGUGAGCUGUGGUGUAGGUCACAGACGUGACUCCAAUCCAGGGUUGCUGUGGCUGUGGUGUAGACCAAUAGCCGUAGCUCUGAUUCAACCCCUAGCCUGUGAACUUCCAUAUGCCAUGGGUGCGGCCC
This 3250-nucleotide long non-coding RNA is filed under the name Sus scrofa (pig). RNAcentral describes it as "lncRNA (ENSSSCG00000052186.1)". Lineage: Eukaryota; Metazoa; Chordata; Mammalia; Artiodactyla; Suidae. The record is from RNAcentral.